UUCUAACCUUAUUUUCUCCUUUUUCUCAGUAAAUAUAAUCUUCCAAUAUUUAAUUAACUCCCACUUAAUUUACUAAAUUCUCAUUUAACCCCAAAACUCCAAUUAAAUUCUAAUUCUCACUUAUUCUAUUAAAAGUAACCACUUAAUAAAUUACAUAAUCAUAUAAAUAUAUUAUAAACCUAUUAAAACAAUCAAAUAAAUUAAAUAAUUCAAAGAGGGCGUUACAGAUCCACAUAAUCUCAGAUUGUGGUGGUUUUUGACUUUGAAAAAAUUCCCUAGAUCCGUUGGUAAAAUCUGUAAUAUAAUAUUUAAAAUUGUAAAUUGAAAUCAAAAUUGAAAUAAAUAAGUACAUGAGAAGAAUAAUAUGAUUACCAAUUUGGAACUCAUUGGAUAUUUAGAUGGAAUUGUCAUUUGGAAUGUCAGAUCUCGAGUAAUGGAAGUAGUUAACCUAUGGUAACGUGGAUAUUCCUUUUUUGGUGUCGAACCAUUGAAAAUUUUGAUUAAAAAGGUACUAUUUUCUAAAAAUGUGAAAGACAUUAAUGGAUUUAAUGUGACGUGAUAAGAAUUUCUAAACUGGUGCCAACCGGUGGUAAGAAUUGGUAUUGUCAUUGAUUUGUUAAAUUGAACCGGAUGAAAAUUUCCAUAACGCAUCUUGUGAAAUUUAUUAACUAAAAUAUCAGGUCGCCAUUUCCCAGAAAUAAUUUCAGCAAAGGGCUUGAAUUUGGUUUCAGAGAUAGGAAUUUCAUGAACAUUGAUGUCAACAGCAGUAGUUCCACCAGUCCAUUUCAGCAAAAACUUAUGCUCUGAAGCUUUGAACACUAAGUUAUUGACUGCAACUUGAAAGUUACUUAAAGUGUAAGUGGUGUUUUCUUCUAAGAAUCUGUGAUAAGUAGCUUUGUAUGUGGUAGGAAUAAGUACUUGUAUAUCAUUACCCUAAAAAGCAAACAAACAUACCAUUAAGGGAUAAAUAAAUUGGUUAAGAAAGAAAUCAUUAUAUUUGACUCUCACUCUAACAAACAUACCCGCGCGUCAACAAUGAUCAUCUCUACAUGUUCUUGCCCAUCCUUAACAACAAUCCAUUUCUGUUUGACUCUAAUAGCAAGCUUUCAGAAGUCUUUCUUAUCUGUGACAUCACCAAUAAACUCCACUGGUCUUUCCAUUUUCAGAUCUAAUACAAAAACAAAACAUGGUUAGUAUUGUAGGCAAACCAAGGUAAAAAAAGAGAUGUGAUAGAGAGGUAUUUUAGGAUGGUUUAUAGGUUAAAUAGUAACUUCAAUAUAUGAAACAAAAUGAAAAGAGCACAACAUCUGUUAUAAGUCUAAAGUCUCUCAUAACUAAAAAAAUUAUAUUUUUAUUUUCAGAUCUAAUUAGAAAACAAAAACAGUCAGUAUUCUAAGCUAAAAUAUGACUUAGAAAAGAGACGUGAUAUUAUGAGAUUUUAGGAUGACUUAUAGGUUAAAAACUUACUUUAAUAUAGGAAAGAAAAUGAAAGAAGCACAACAUCUGUUAUAAGUCAAAACGUUGAUGUACCUUAAAAAAUGUGAUUUCCAUUUUCAAAUCUAAUUAAAAAACAAAACAUAGUGAGUAUUGUAGACAAAUAAAGGAAAAAAAAUUGUGUGUGAUAAAGAGAGAUUUAGGCUGAUUUAUAAGUUAAAAACUAACUUCAAUAUAGCAAAAAAAAAAGAAGAAAGAAUCACAGCAUGUCCUCAUAUAAUACAAAAAAUACAAUACAUUGUUCAUUAUGGAAUUCCAUAAAAGUUUGAUUUAGGAAUAUAACAUGCAUCAAAAAUUGUAUAACCUAAAGAAAACUGAAUAGUAAAGUCUGCAAAGAGAAGAGUAGUUUACCAGCAGCAACGAUGAGAGAGGGGACGAAUGGGUGUAGAGAAUGACAAUGUUUGCUAGUAGUAUUAUCUAAUAGAGUAUGUUGAUUGAUUGAUAGCUGUAAAAUGGAUAUUUGAACCAAAAGUGUACUUUAUAAUCUCACACACAAAAAUGGGUUCAGUUUUGUUUAGUUCCAAUGGAAUGGGUAACUUAGAUAAAUGUGUGGAUAAAGUAAACCACCAUUAAUGGGUUCAGUUACAUGAGAUUAGUUUUGUUGAAGUGAUGUCAUCCAAAAAGAGGAAGUAAGCAAAAAGAUCAGAUUUACCCCAAAAUUUUAGACGUUUGC
This 2167-nucleotide long non-coding RNA is filed under the name Medicago truncatula (barrel medic). RNAcentral's name for it is "long non-coding RNA (MTRU_LNC002528)". The record is from RNAcentral. Lineage: Eukaryota; Viridiplantae; Streptophyta; Magnoliopsida; Fabales; Fabaceae.